This 319-nucleotide ribosomal RNA is filed under the name uncultured eukaryote. Its description in RNAcentral is "partial 18S ribosomal RNA". It matches the Rfam family "Eukaryotic small subunit ribosomal RNA", at positions 1470 to 1796 of the family's 1831-position model. The record is from RNAcentral.
CCCUUAGAUGUUCUGGGCCGCACGCGCGCUACAAUGGUCUUCGCAAACGGAUGCAUUCUCGAAGGAGAAUGCCAAUCUUGGAAUCUAUGCCUUGGUCGGGACAGUUGCUUGCAAUUUUUCGACUCGAACCAGGAAUUCCUUGUAAUCGUGAUUCAUCACAUCACGAUGAAUACGUCCCUGCCCUUUGUACACACCGCCCGUCACUCCUACCGAUCGAAGAGUUAGGUGAAUUGUUUUGAUCGAUAAGAUUUGACUAUGGUCAACUCUCGUUGUGAAAUUCUGUGAAUCUGACUGUUUAGAGGAAGGAAAAGUCGUAACA